This is a non-coding RNA of Eurypyga helias (sunbittern), 152 nucleotides long. The record is from Rfam. Lineage: Eukaryota; Metazoa; Chordata; Aves; Eurypygiformes; Eurypygidae.
AUACUUACCUGGCAGGGGAGACACCAUGAUCAAGAAGCUGGUUUUCCCAGGGCGAGGCUCAUCCCUUGCACUCUGGGUGUGCUGGCCCCUGUGAUUUAUUUUUAUUUUCUUUUUUUGAACACCUGAGGAACCUGAAGGUGCACAAGUCCAUG